GCUGCGAUGGCUGAGCGGUGAAGGCGUUGGGCUUGAAAUCCAAUGGGGUUUCCCUGCGCAGGUUCAAAUCCUGCUCACAGCA
This is a non-coding RNA of Apaloderma vittatum (bar-tailed trogon), 82 nucleotides long. The record is from Rfam. Lineage: Eukaryota; Metazoa; Chordata; Aves; Trogoniformes; Trogonidae.